RNAcentral lists this ribosomal RNA (467 nucleotides) under uncultured bacterium. RNAcentral describes it as "partial 16S ribosomal RNA". It matches the Rfam family "Bacterial small subunit ribosomal RNA", at positions 29 to 507 of the family's 1533-position model. The record is from RNAcentral.
ACGAACGCUGGCGGCGUGCUUCACACAUGCAAGUCGCACGGAAAGGCCCCGCUUUUGUGGGGUGCUCGAGUGGCGAACGGGUGAGUAACACGUGAGUAACCUGCCCUUGACUUUGGGAUAACUUCAGGAAACUGGGGCUAAUACCGGAUAGGAGCUCCUGCUGCAUGGUGGGGGUUGGAAAGUUUCGGCGGUUGGGGAUGGACUCGCGGCUUAUCAGCUUGUUGGUGGGGUAGUGGCUUACCAAGGCUUUGACGGGUAGCCGGCCUGAGAGGGUGACCGGCCACAUUGGGACUGAGAUACGGCCCAGACUCCUACGGGAGGCAGCAGUGGGGAAUAUUGCACAAUGGGCGGAAGCCUGAUGCAGCAACGCCGCGUGCGGGAUGACGGCCUUCGGGUUGUAAACCGCUUUCGCCUGUGACGAAGCGUGAGUGACGGUAAUGGGUAAAGAAGCACCGGCUAACUACGUG